GCGAAAACUUUACAAUGCUGGCAACAGCGAUAAGGGAACCUCGAGUGCCAGGUUACAAAUCUGGCUGUCGAGAUGCCUAAAAAGCAUUUCAUAGCAAGGGCCGGGCAAGACCGGUGCCAGCCGCCGCGGUAACACCGGCGGCUCGAGUGGUAACCGUUAUUAUUGGGUCUAAAGGGUCUGUAGCCGGCCGGAUAAGUCUCUUGAGAAAUCUGGCAGCUUAACUGUCAGGCUUUCAGGAGAUACUGUCUGGCUCGAGGCCGGGAGAGGUGAGAGGUACUUCAGGGGUAGGGGUGAAAUCUUGUAAUCCUUGAGGGACCACCGGUGGCGAAGGCGUCUCACCAGAACGGACCUGACGGCAAGGGACGAAAGCUAGGGGCACGAACC
This 384-nucleotide ribosomal RNA is filed under the name uncultured prokaryote. RNAcentral describes it as "bacterial SSU rRNA". It matches the Rfam family "Archaeal small subunit ribosomal RNA", at positions 341 to 725 of the family's 1478-position model. The record is from RNAcentral.